Molecule: transfer RNA, 74 nt
Filed under: bacterium
Lineage: Bacteria
Also listed under: 2 other names
Description: tRNA-Gln
Rfam family: tRNA
About the family: Transfer RNA (tRNA) molecules are approximately 80 nucleotides in length. Their secondary structure includes four short double-helical elements and three loops (D, anti-codon, and T loops).
Source: RNAcentral
UGCCGUGUCGUCUAACGGUAGGACGCUUGACUCUGAAUCAAGUAGUUGGGGUUCGAAUCCCUGCACGGCAGCCA